Molecule: ribosomal RNA, 440 nt
Filed under: uncultured bacterium
Lineage: Bacteria
Description: partial 16S ribosomal RNA
Rfam family: Bacterial small subunit ribosomal RNA
Source: RNAcentral
CCUACGGGCGGCUGCAGUGGGGAAUAUUGCACAAUGGGGGAAACCCUGAUGCAGCGACGCCGCGUGAGUGAAGAAGUCAUUCGUUAUGUAAAGCUCUAUCAGCGGGGAGGAAAAUGACGUUACCUGAGUAAGAAGCCCCGGCUAACUAUGUGCCAGCAGCCGCGGUAAUACGUAGGGGGCAAGCGUUAUCCGGAUUUACUGGGUGUAAAGGGAGCGUAGACGGCAGUGCAAGUCUGCAGUGAAAGGCGGGGGCUCAACCCGCGGACUGCUCUGGAAACUGGACGGCUGGAGUGCAGGAGAGGUAGGUGGAAUUCCUGGUGUAGCGGUGAAAUGCGUAGAGAUUAGGAGGAACACCAGUGGCGAAGGCGGCUUACUGGACUGUAACUGACGUUGAGGCUCGAAAGCGUGGGGAGCAAACAGGAUUAGAUACCCGUGUAGUC